UCUCCAAAAUCGCGCAGGUAAAGCUUUCUCCGAUUCACCUCUUUUAAGAUCAAUAUUCCCCCACACAUACCUUCUUCUUCACUCAGAGUCUUUCUCCUUUGUUCCCAAGGUUUUGUGUCGAUCUCGGAGCUCAGAGAUUCGAAUGACCUAAUUGUCACCGUGGGGGAUUCUUAUUCACUCUGCAAUCUACUCGAAUUCAUCUCGGCAACCUUAAAGUGGAUCGAAAGAAAGUUUACACACUCUCUGAAUCGAUCGAAAGAAAGAAAGGUUCCGCCUUGAAAUUAGGGUUUCUCGGGCGGCUUUUCACGGUGGAUGAUAUUGGUCCUUCUGAUUCGAGGGGUUUCUGCUAGAUUUAAGCUAGAGAAGUGAAGAAAGGCGUUAAAUUUAGUUCAUGUAUGGCUUCGGAGCCUGUUAACGAUGGAGGAAGAGAGAAGCAGAGCAUUAGAGUUUACACUAGGAAAGGUAAAGGUCAGAGGAAACAGUCACCUUUCUUUGCCUUUGCCACCGAUGAAAUUGGGAAAGCAAACAAUCGUCUGAAUCCUCCUGAAACUGUAGCUCCAGAGUCUUCGGAUCCUAUAGCUGUAGAAAAGACUGCUCUUGAGACCAAGUCGCGGGAAGACUCAACUGAAGCACCUUCUGACAAAGUGAUUGAUAAGCCUCAUGAUGAUGUCAGUUUGGGCGCUGCUGAUAAGAGCGUUAUUCAAUCUGUACCAGGUCCUUUGGUUCAGGAUGAUGCGAAUACUGUUGUAGGUGAGAAGUCUGUGGAAGUACCCUCCCAAAGCUUUAAAACUCAAGAUGAUGUCAAUACAGUAGUUGUCGAUGAGAACUCUAUAAAGGAACCUUCUGAAAGCCUUGCCCAAGAAGAAGAUGUUACCACCGUGGUUGUUGACAAGAAGGCUAUUGAUGCACCUUCUGAAACCCUAUCCGUGGAAGAUAUCAAUACUGUUGUUGUUGACAAGAAUCCCAUUGAAGUAUCUUCUGAAAACGUGGUAGAUGGAGUAAAAGAAGCUCAUCCUGAAAACCUUCCGGAAAGAGAUGCCCCUGAUGCUCAACAGACAGCAGGGCUUACCUCUGAUUCUGCUGGUGAAAGCAUGCCAAUGGAGGAGGGCGUAGAUGGACGCAUAAAGAUACAUGUACCCUCCAAAUCGAAGCAACAGAAAGAGGAGAUUAGGAAGAAGCUUGAAGAUCAGCUUAACGUGGUCAGAGGUCUGGUAAAGAGGAUAGAGGAUAAAGAGGGCGAGAUUGGUGCGUAUGACGACUCUCGUCUCUUGGCUAGCACUGGUAUUACUAAUGGAGGAGGAAGGAUUCUCUCAGGUUUUGCGUCAGCUGGACUUCCUCGUGAGGUCAUCAGAACACCAAGGCCUUUAAAUCAACUAAGUAUAUCCGUGUUAGAGAAUACUCAGGGGUUAAGUGAGCAUGUGGAGAAAGAGAAAAGAACACCCAAGGCAAAUCAGUUUUAUAGAAAUUCAGAGUUUUUACUUGGUGACAAGUUGCCACCCACAGAGAGUAACAAGAAAUCAAAAUCAAGUGCAAAGAAGCACGGAGGGGAGGUUGGUCAUGGUUUUGGUGCAGGCUCUAAAGUUUUCAAGAAUUGCAGUGCACUACUUGAAAGGCUGAUGAAGCAUAAGCAUGGUUGGGUGUUCAAUGCUCCUGUAGAUGUGAAGGCUCUAGGUUUGCAUGAUUACUUCACCAUUAUCGAGCACCCUAUGGAUUUGGGAACGGUCAAGUCUGCAUUAACAAGAAAUGUGUACGAGUCACCAAGAGAAUUUGCAGAGGAUGUUAGACUUACUUUCCACAACGCCAUGACUUACAAUCCACCGGGACAGGAUGUCCAUAUCAUGGCGCAAGUGCUAUUACAGAUGUUUGAGGAGAGAUGGGCUGUCAUAGAGGCAGACUAUAAUCGUCAAAUGAGAUUUGUCACUAGUUAUGAGAUGAAUCUUCCAGCUUCUACAAUGAGGUCUAGACUGGGUCCUACGAUGCCACCACCACCUAUUAAUGUGAGGAAUACAAUAGAUAGAGCAGACUGGAGUAGUCAUCAUCCUGACUUGCAGCAUCCAAAGCCAACAACAACGCCUGGCAGAACACCGACCAGCACAACACCUUCUGGAAGGACACCUGCUCUGAAGAAGCCAAAGGCAAACGAACCAAAUAAAAGGGAUAUGACGUAUGAAGAGAAGCAGAAGCUUAGUGGCCAUUUGCAGAAUUUGCCUCCAGACAAACUAGAUGCAAUUGUGCAAAUUGUGAACAAGAGGAACACUGCUGUGAAGCUACAGGAUGAAGAAAUUGAAGUCGAUAUAGAUAGUGUUGAUCCGGAGACCCUGUGGGAGUUGGACAGAUUUGUAAUCAACUACAAAAAGGGUUUGAGCAAGAAAAAGAGAAAAGCUGAGCUAGCGAAUCAAGCUAGAGCAGAGGCCGAGAGGAAUGGCCAACAACAGAUGGCUCCAGCACCAGUGGCACGUGAGUUUUCUAGGGAGGGUGGAAACACAGCUAAAAAGACACUCCCUACCCCAUUACCUUCUCAAGUGGAGAAGCAAAACAAUGAGACAAGCAGAUCAAGUAGUUCAAGCAGCUCUUCCAGUAGUUCCAGCUCUUCUAGUGAUUCGGACAGCGAUAGCUCUUCGUCAUCUGGAUCAGAUCAGACUUAGAGACUGGACAAGAGAUUUGGUGUUGACAAAAAUGUAAGGUAUAUGUGUUUCCUGGAUAGCACAUGUGUUAAUGGAAUCUUUUCAACGGGCGUUUAGAAAGAUGGGGAAGAUAGCGUUAGAAGAGCAUAUGAGAGGCUAAGGAUGAUGUGACGUACAGGCUUGAGGCAGAAAUAUUACACAGUAGUUGGGUUUGGAAGGAAAGAUUGUAUUGUAUUCAUAGAAUAAAUAUAUUUUUGAUUUCGUUUUUAGAAUUGGUAGGAUGAUGUGGCUGUCUCUACUUUUAGAUGUAACCGUAGGAGGGUUGGUCUGGUCUGUUUCGGCACUCUUGUAUAUCUUGCCUCUCUCUGUUCUUCUCUGGUCUUGAGCAGUUUAGUUUGGUUGACUAGGUUCAUGUUUGUUUUAGUUAGGGCUUUUGAAUCAGAAAAUAUCAUCACAACAGAUUCUUGAUGACUUGUGUAUUUGUAAGCUUGUGACAUUCGUCGUUU
Brassica rapa (field mustard) is the source of this 3130-nucleotide RNA transcript. It is a transcript of the gene named transcription factor GTE4, with no coding region annotated. Lineage: Eukaryota; Viridiplantae; Streptophyta; Magnoliopsida; Brassicales; Brassicaceae. The record is from RefSeq and is a predicted model, not a curated record.